This 492-nucleotide ribosomal RNA is filed under the name uncultured bacterium. RNAcentral describes it as "partial 16S ribosomal RNA". It matches the Rfam family "Bacterial small subunit ribosomal RNA", at positions 29 to 507 of the family's 1533-position model. The record is from RNAcentral.
AGUGAACGCUGGCGGUAGGCCUAACACAUGCAAGUCGAACGGCAGCACAGUAAGAGCUUGCUCUUACGGGUGGCGAGUGGCGGACGGGUGAGGAAUACAUCGGAAUCUACUUUUUCGUGGGGGAUAACGUAGGGAAACUUACGCUAAUACCGCAUACGACCUACGGGUGAAAGCAGGGGAUCUUCGGACCUUGCGCGAUUGAAUGAGCCGAUGUCGGAUUAGCUAGUUGGCGGGGUAAAGGCCCACCAAGGCGACGAUCCGUAGCUGGUCUGAGAGGAUGAUCAGCCACACUGGAACUGGGACACGGUCCAGACUCCUAAGGGAGGCAGCAGUGGGGAAUAUUGGACAAUGGGCGCAAGCCUGAUCCAGCCAGACCGCGUGGGUGAAGAAGGCCUUCGGGUUGUAAAGCCCUUUUGUUGGGAAAGAAAAGCAGCAGGUUAAUACCCCGCUGUUCUGACGGUACCCAAAGAAUAAGCACCGGCUAACUUCGUG